Molecule: long non-coding RNA, 1799 nt
Organism: Herpailurus yagouaroundi (jaguarundi)
Lineage: Eukaryota; Metazoa; Chordata; Mammalia; Carnivora; Felidae
Exons: 3
Source: RefSeq, a predicted model, not a curated record
AGCAAGCCAGAUGUGGGAACCCACAAACCGUGAGAUCAUGACCUGAGACGAAGGCGGACACUCAACCGACUGAGCCACCCAGGUGCCCCCACUUGCAGACUUUUCUAAGGGAAGUAGCCUUAGGCUCAUGGAGACAGGCUCCUGCCUUUGAAGUUUUGACCCAGCCCCACGGAAGCUCAAGCUGCGUAUUAUGAUCACCAGGCUGGCAUUCCACGGCCACCCCUGAAGUCUGAGCUGUGACGUCUGCUGCAGACGAGCGGUGAAGCAGAAUAGAUUCCCCUGUUCUUUUGGGAAAUGACUCCAACUUCAUGGUUCUGCCAGAAAUGAUCCAUCACAGCACGGAACGACCACCUGACCCCAAGCCAACCAAUCAUUCUUGCCUGGGAUUCCUUCCCAUGGAGCUGGCGUGGGGAAGCUCUCUUCCCUCACGACCGUAAGCCUAGAAGCCUGGGCUACAUGUGGCCGUGACUCCAGGCCCGCGAGGACGGCCCACCUGAGAGAACAGAGGUAAGAGGGAGGGAUCUGAAUCCCUGGACCCGGAGGCCUCGACGGCUAGCUUUUCUCUGGCUCCUAGCAUUUCUUCACCUCGAGCCAUAAACUUCUUCUUGCCCCUUACGGUAGUUUUAAUUAGGUCUGUGCACUCCCAGCCCAAAGGGCCCUGUCCUCAGCAUAUCCAUCUGGACUGAUGCAACGAAGCUGCUCACAACACAGUUGACGAGGCCAAAGCACGGAAAAACAGUGCAGGGAAGAACACAUCCAAAUCAAGUAGGACUUGAUGGGCCACCUGCUACUACCAUGCACGGGGCAGUUUCCUCGGGUCACGUGAGCCAGAGGCCAGCCCCAGGCCCAGAGAGCACCCACCCUUCACACAUCCCAGAUGCCAUCCUCCUGUUUUCACGGGACGGCGUUCUCACUCACAAAGUCUGCGUGACCAGGCCCUUCUCCACUUCGGGCUACCAAGUGGUCCACCUUUCUCUCCUUCCAAGUUGCAAAAACAAAAGAACCAUGGCAGGGUACUAGGUGGAGAAUAUUUUUCCAUCGAGGCUCAGAGGAAGGCCUAGCAUCCAUUUCCGGAGCUAUGGCCUCUGAGCCUCCGCCACCAGCCCACUUCUGGCUGGGCCGGCCUCUGCUUCCGCCUCCAGUGCACAUGUCAGUCAGAGGAGCCUCUCUGAUCGCUACUUUAAAUAACAAUCCCUACUUCCACUCCCUCCUGGUAUCUUACCCUACUGGGCAUUUUUUUCUCCACCUUUGAUCACCACCUAACACGGUAUCUAUUUUCUGUUCCCAACCCAAUUAGAACGUAAACUCCGGGGGGGGGGGGGGGGGGGGGGCCAAACACCCCCUUUUUUUUAUAUUUUUAUUUUUAAAACCCAGGACAGUGCCUCACACAGGCCGUGUUUCCAAUAAAUAUCUGUUGAAUGAAUGAAUGAAUGAAUGAAUGAACAGGCAGUGACACCAGACUGGGAUCAGGGAACAGAGAGGGCAGACCGAGGGGUGAUAGAUUUCCGGUCUGCAGAAGGUUAAGACGGGCAAUUAUUUGAAAUGCCCAAUCUCAUGAGGGAUGAAAGAAGACACAGGACAAACGGGACCCAUGAAGCAGGCGGGUCCAAGCGAGUGGUACAGCUGGGUGGACAGCUUUCGGCUUUGCCUAGCGCUCCUUUACCCUUCUGACAAGAAUCCCUGAUUCUCCUCGAGUUUAUGCUGCUUUAAAGCGUGAGCAUGUGACCUGAUUUAGCCAAUCAGCAUACCCCAUGCCUUUGCCCAUAGUGAUUGCUUUCUGUUUGGAUACAUGAUCUAAU